RNAcentral lists this ribosomal RNA (402 nucleotides) under uncultured bacterium. Its description in RNAcentral is "partial 16S ribosomal RNA". It matches the Rfam family "Archaeal small subunit ribosomal RNA", at positions 473 to 873 of the family's 1478-position model. The record is from RNAcentral.
ACACCGGCAGCUCAAGUGGUAGCCGCUUUUAUUGGGCCUAAAGCGUCCGUAGCCGGUCUGAUAAGUCUCUGGUGAAAUCCCACAGCUUGACUGUGGGAAUUGCUGGAGAUACUAUCAUGACUCGAGGUCGGGAGAGGCUGGAGGUACUCCCAGGGUAGGGGUGAAAUCCUGUAAUCCUGGGAGGACCACCUGUGGCGAAGGCGUCCAGCUGGAACGAACCUGGCGGUGAGGGACGAAAGCCAGGGGCGCGAACCGGAUUAGAUACCCGGGUAGUCCUGGCCGUAAACGAUGUGGACUUGGUGUUGGGAUGGCUCCGAGCUGCCCCAGUGCCGAAGGGAAGCUGUUAAGUCCACCGCCUGGGAAGUACGGUCGCAAGACUGAAACUUAAAGGAAUUGGCGGGG